Molecule: long non-coding RNA, 3852 nt
Organism: Polypterus senegalus (gray bichir)
Lineage: Eukaryota; Metazoa; Chordata; Cladistia; Polypteriformes; Polypteridae
Exons: 2
Source: RefSeq, a predicted model, not a curated record
AAUGGCUUCUGAACACUGUUGGGAAGUCGAUAGCUUAGAGUCCACUAUGACCACCAGUAUUGCUUCCUAUUUGCAGUUCUUUACAUUUGCUUACAUGAAAUAUUAUCUCACAAAUCUGCCUGAGCCUGUAUGCUGUUAACGUCUCUCUGUAACAAUUUAGCAGAGUCUACAUUGUUUUCAAUUGCAGCUUCCUUGGUAUCAUCUGUAAUCAUCACCAUCUUGAGGAUUAUAUUCUUAUUUGGAUGGUUUAUGUAUUUUAAAAACAGCAGCCUCAGCACUGCCUCCUGCUGGACACCUCUUUUAACAUCGCCUAAUUCUAAAAAAGGUCCCCUCACUGCCACAAAGAGCCAUGCAAAGAGCAGAGAAUCAAUCCAUUGCAGCUGACACUUCAAUACUUUCUAAAAAAUCAACUUUGUUAUAUUUUGGAAAAAUUAGGGAAAUUGGAUUAAUGAGUUUCUCAGGAUGAAUGACCUGUUCCCAUCAAAAUUCUUCUAAUGUUCUUUAAAAACUUGGAUGUGGACUAGGAGGUACAGUAGAUUUUUGAUAAUGUGUAGACAGGGCAAGAAAACAAAAGUCCUUAAAAUGAUUCCUUAGGAGAAAAUGAACCAAACUUAAACUGUACUGCUUAAGUAUCAUAAACCUUCCUUUUCCUUUCUGACUCAACACACAAUCAAAAGUUCAUCGAGGAUAGAACAUCCACACAGAUAUGUCUCAGGCUUUCUUCUCACCUCUCUGACUGAACUCUCUGGCUUCUUAAGGCAGUAGCUCCCCUGCUGACUGCUCUGAUUCUCAUAAUCUGAACCACUCGUCUCAGUCCAUGUUGAUCCAAAAUGGCUGUCUACUUUGGUUGUCACCAGUCUCCUAAUAGUAUGGUAUAUUACUCCAUGGACUCCAUCCAUGGACUCCGUCUGUCUUCUUGUUUGAUAUUUCUUUUUGCUGCCCUUAAUCUAUGACAUUAGAAAUAGUCACACACAGCAGAGCUGUUUACUGAUGUUGUCACAACUCUCUCCAUGUUGACAUGGACUUUUAAAGGCCGAUACACAAUUUUCAUUACAGACUUGUGACAAGUUGCUUUGAACAAACUUAGCUUUAGUUGACAAUGAAUUUGUGGUUGGUCAGCAGAGUGUGUUACAUGACAACAUAUCUGUUUAUGAUAUACAUGUUUGGAAUCUGAAAGUAUCGAGAUCAUCAACCAGAAGAAAGCCAUAUGAGCUAAAACAUGGAUUCAACAUACAAGUGAGUAAAGCUGAACAGGAAGAAGAAGAGCUAAGACUCAUAAACAGACACAACAUUUAUAAAGUGAUGUAGAUAAGAAUGAAAGUCUAACCUGUGAGCUCAUUUCAGAUUUAUGGAAUUAUGGCGGUCGACAAAUAAAUAACGAGACAGCUCACAAUGAAACCCCUGGCCAUGUUAAGAUUGAGGUGAGCAGCCAGGCUCUGAAGAAAUGAGGUGCGUAGGAUUGGCGAGUUUGUUGGGCUCAAUGGCUUGUUGUCUUCACAAUUGUUCUGAUGAUUAAAAAAAAAAACGAUGUUUUGUUCUUAAUGGUUUAUGGACACAAGUUGAGCAAAAAGUAAAUUGGUCACAUCUCGAGAGCCCUGAUACAUUUAGGCCACUGACCUGGCUGAUGUUUGAUAUUUUAAAUGCUCAAGUAUUCUUAUUUUCACUAAGAGUGUGUUUCCUGUGUUCGAUUUACAGAUAUGAGUACAACUGUGGAACAUUCAGACAAAACAAUUUACCUGGCAAUAGGACUGCUGGCACUGGUGGCUGUGGUGCUUAUCACACUGAUGAUACCAAUUGUGAGGAUUUGGAGGAGACAAAUGAACUGGUAUGUAAAACCUCACACAUGUGAGCAGGCAGCCUAGCAUGUUCAACUUAUACGGUAGACAUUCAUCGUGUGUGCCAAAGAUGCCCUCAUUCAUAAAAGAAUCCCUUCUGUUUGAUGAAGUCAUCACAAGUCUGCCAUUUCUCUCAGAUUUCUCAGCUCUGCUUUGUGUUAAUGCAGCCAUCAAGAAGGUGAAGCGGGCAUCACAGAGUCUGUGAUGAGGCCAUAAUGCUGACUUUCUAAAUGUUCUCUGUACUCCUGCAUUCAGUCUGAUGUUUGCUGUUGUGAACACCUCAACGUUACACUGCACUGUUAAAAUAUCCUGAAUGCUGCUGCUGUUUUCCACUUACUAUAUUUUAAAACCAUUUCCAUUCAUUUUCUUUUAGUGCCAAGAGAAGACAAUGAUAUUGAAGUGCCACUGCAACAAAGUCCAACAGUGUGUGAAAGAUGAAGGGUAACUUGUGUCACUCUGUGCUCAGACCUGGAGUGUUUGAACUGAGGAUAUUAAAAGAGAAGCUGAUGUGCACACAAGAGAACCCGAAGCACUUUGGUGUGAAUUUGGAAAGCUUGCCUUUGUAUUCUGUUUAGUUAGCCAAUAAAAGGUGUCAUUUCACUUUACUUUCUCCUAACUGGGAUCUGAAAGAGGCGACUGUCUGAAUGUACUCCAUGUAGCCAGAGGACGUCGCCUGCUCUACUCAUCUCCAUUCCAGCGAGUUUCGUUUCCAUUCUGCUUGUUUUAUGCUGCUGGCUUUGUGUCUUUAGAAGGGCAUCUGAAAAAAACUGUAAAAAAAUAACUUCACGAACCAUCAACACCUUCACCUGCUUCUGCUGCAGAUGCAGUGCUGAAAAAUAGGAAUAGGCUGCCAUCUCCACUUCAACGAAAAUGUGACAGCCUGUAAUGGAGGCCGGUGGUGUGCAGCAUUAACAGAUCACUAAUGUUCUACUGGAUAUUUCACACUGCCAAGAGAUGUUUGUCUUAAGAAAUCUCACAGAUAUUCAGCCAUAGACUAACAGUAAGCAAUGGACAAUGGAAUCCAAUCUCAAGUGUAAAGUCCAAAAAAAACUGUCUGAGAGACCAAAGCAAAUUACCUGCCAUCCUGGAAUGACGGCUUCAUCCCCUCCGUUGUGUCAUUUCUAUGCUGCCUCCACUUCCUAGCAUCAGCGAUGUCCCUGUCGCUAAGCAACAAAGGAAGGAGGGGCUUGGGGCGGAGCCUAAACAACAUCCCAACAGCAAGCAUUCACUCAGAAAUUCAGAAACCAAAGAUUCAGAAGAGCAGAAUGGAAAUCCUGUGACAGACUGGGAAAACCUGAGCGCGAUUUGGACAAAAUAUGAAAGUCUAUCAGCAGCAAUAAUCAGGGAAGGGUGACAUCUUUAUUCUUGUGUUUGUGUUCAUAUUAUGUGCUAUGGUGGGGCACUCAUGAAUAUAAACAUACUGAGUAGUUCUUUGAUUUUUAAAAUAUAGGAAGAUUUCUUCCAAGAAGAGUUAAUAAAAAAAAAAUCAAUAUUCUUAAUAUUCUCACUUUACAAGCUGAUCUACGAGCUCUCUAGACGCCUCCUAGAGGUUUAAAGACUGUGGUCUGUCAUAAGAGCUCCUCCUUACUUUCUCAGUUCUUGCCCAUGCAUGCCAGUCCUUCAUUGGCAUUCUUAAAUAUCACACUCAGGGUCUCGUUUCUGGCUCAUUACUCCUGUCGUUGUAUGAGGACUCUUUACAUGUACUGAGGUCCUGUGUGUUGUGUGUGUGGCACCCAGGAAGGCAGGGCCUCCUGCCACCACCAUUUGUGAGACCUCCCUCUGGCUAUUUAAGGCCCAGAGAGCUGGACUUGAGGCGGAGGUGCGUUGCUGUUUCUGAUGUCUAAUGUGAAUUUUAUUAUUUUCAUUUGGAAUUUGGAAUGUUUUUUUUUGCCUGCUUUCUGCUUUGGUCUUUGAAUAUUUCUGUUGGAUUGUGAAGGGGGAUUUGGUUACCAAGGGUUUGAAACCCUUUAUGUCAUUUUUUUCUUUCUUUGUGAAUAAAUAUAUUCAUUUAUAGAGA